Thalassophryne amazonica is the source of this 141-nucleotide long non-coding RNA. RefSeq lists it as uncharacterized. The transcript has 4 exons. Lineage: Eukaryota; Metazoa; Chordata; Actinopteri; Batrachoidiformes; Batrachoididae. The record is from RefSeq and is a predicted model, not a curated record.
CCUGUUUGGAAUUUUGAAUCACCUCUUCUAUGUCCUGAUCAAAUUCUCCGGCAGAGACAUGACGGUGACAGUCAACGUAACCCUGCAUGUGCACGCAAAAGCUCAAUAAGCCUGGUUUACAAAAUAAAUGAAUCCACGUCC